GGCCACAACCGUACCAUGUUGGAAACACCGGUUCACGUCUGAUCACCGAAGUUAAACACCGCUGGGCCCGGCUAGUACUUGUAUGGGUGACCGGCUGGGAAUACAGGGUGUUGAAACUU
RNAcentral lists this ribosomal RNA (119 nucleotides) under Clonorchis sinensis. Lineage: Eukaryota; Metazoa; Platyhelminthes; Trematoda; Opisthorchiida; Opisthorchiidae. The record is from RNAcentral.